RNAcentral lists this transfer-messenger RNA (360 nucleotides) under Verrucomicrobiia. RNAcentral describes it as "DUCD01 sp012959985 Standard tmRNA". It matches the Rfam family "transfer-messenger RNA". From Rfam's summary of the family: Bacterial tmRNA, also known as 10Sa RNA or SsrA, is named for its dual tRNA and mRNA-like properties. The record is from RNAcentral. Lineage: Bacteria; Pseudomonadati; Verrucomicrobiota. RNAcentral also lists the same sequence under 3 other names.
GGGGGCGUACCGGUUUCGACUGGGUGUGUCAGCUUGGGGCAGCAUGUCGAGGAUGGUUCGUCGGCCUCGUUAAUAAGCGGACCACACAUAAUUGCUAACGAAGAAUUAGCUCUUGCAGCAUAAAUAAUGCUACAACGUUCACCUCCUGACGCCUACUAGGGAGACUGAGCGCCGACAGCAGGCUUAGGUCCUUUGACGGAGAAAGCGCGGCCCUGGACCAAAAUUUUUCAUGCUUUCUAGGAAACUGGCCGCGCCGUCGGAACGUAAACCAGCCUCCGAAAUCUGCUUUCCGAAUAAACAUGUAGAUACUCCAGGACUACAGGCCUUAGGACGCGGGUUCAACUCCCGCCGCCUCCACCA